ACGUAGGUGGCAAGCGUUGUCCGGAUUUAUUGGGCGUAAAGCGCGCGCAGGCGGUCUUUUAAGUCUGAUGUGAAAUCUCGGGGCUCAACCCCGAGCGGUCAUUGGAAACUGGGAGACUUGAGUGCAGAAGAGAAGAGCGGAAUUCCACGUGUAGCGGUGAAAUGCGUAGAGAUGUGGAGGAACACCAGUGGCGAAGGCGGCUCUUUGGUCUGUAACUGACGCUGAGGCGCGAAAGCGUGGGGAGCGAACAGGA
RNAcentral lists this ribosomal RNA (253 nucleotides) under uncultured prokaryote. RNAcentral's name for it is "partial 16S ribosomal RNA". It matches the Rfam family "Bacterial small subunit ribosomal RNA", at positions 525 to 777 of the family's 1533-position model. The record is from RNAcentral.